UACGUAGGGUGCAAGCGUUGUCCGGAUUUACUGGGCGUAAAGGGCGUGCAGGCGGCCUAGCAAGUUCUGUGUGAAAGCCCCCGGCCAAACCGGGGAGGGUCACGGAAGACUGCUAAGCUAGAGGGCAGCAGAGGAUAGUGGAAUUCCCGGUGUAGUGGUAAAAUGCGUAGAGAUCGGGAGGAACACCAGUGGCGAAAGCGGCUAUCUGGGCUGCAACUGACGCUGAGGCGCGAAGGCUAGGGUAG
This 245-nucleotide ribosomal RNA is filed under the name uncultured bacterium. RNAcentral's name for it is "partial 16S ribosomal RNA". It matches the Rfam family "Bacterial small subunit ribosomal RNA", at positions 524 to 768 of the family's 1533-position model. The record is from RNAcentral.